This 484-nucleotide ribosomal RNA is filed under the name uncultured bacterium. Its description in RNAcentral is "partial 16S ribosomal RNA". It matches the Rfam family "Bacterial small subunit ribosomal RNA", at positions 30 to 507 of the family's 1533-position model. The record is from RNAcentral.
AUUGAACGCUGGCGGCAGGCCUAACACAUGCAAGUCGAGCGGAUGAAGGGAGAUUGCUCCUGGAUUCAGCGGCGGACGGGUGAGUAAUGCCUAGGAAUCUGCCUGGUCGUGGGGGAUAACGUCCGGAAACGGGCGCUAAUACCGCAUACGUCCUGAGGGAGAAAGUGGGGGAUCUUCGGACCACACCCUUUCAGAUGAGCCUGGGUCGGAUUAGCUAGUUGGUGGGGUAAAGGCCUACGAAGGCGACGAUCCGUAGCUGGUCUGAGAGGAUGAUCAGUCACACUGGAACUGAGACACGGUCCAGACUCCUACGGGAGGCAGCAGUAGGGAAUAUUGGGCAAUGGGCGAAAGCCUGAUCCAGCCAUGCCGCGUGUGUGAAGAAGGUCUUCGGAUUGUAAAGCACUUUAAGUUGGGAAGAAGGGCAGUAAGAUAAUACCUUGCUGUCUUGACGUUACCAACAGAAUAAGCACCGGCUAACUUCGUG